GGGGGCAAGCGUUUAUCCGGAUUUUACUGGGGGUAAAAGGGAGCGUAGAACGGCGAUGCAAAGUUGAGUGUAAAAAACCGGAGGCCCCAACUGGGGGACUGCACCCCAAAACUGCAUGGCUGGAGUACUGGAGGGGCAGGCCGGAUUCCUGGUGUAGCGGUGAAAUGCGCAGAUAUCAGGAAGAACACCGGUGGCGAAGGCGGCCUUCUGGGCCACGACUGACGCUGAGGCGCGAAAGCUAGGGGAGCGAACAGGAUUAGAUACCCUGGUAGUCCACGCCGUAAACGAUGGAUACUAGGUGUGGGGGGACUGACCCCCUCCGUGCCGCAGUAAACACAAUAAGUAUCCCACCUGGGGAGUACGACCGCAAGGUUGAAACUCAAAGGAAUUGACGGGGGCCCGCACAAGCAGUGGAUUAUGUGGUUUAAUUCGACGCAACGCGAAGAACCUUACCGGGAUUUGACAUCCUGCUAACGAAGUAGAGAUACAUCAGGUGCCCUUCGGGGAAAGCAGAGACAGGUGGUGCAUGGUUGUCGUCAGCUCGUGUCGUGAGAUGUUGGGUUAAGUCCCGCAACGAGCGCAACCCUUAUUGUUAGUUGCUACGCAAGAGCACUCUAGCGAGACUGCCGUUGACAAAACGGAGGAAGGCGGGGACGACGUCAAAUCAUCAUGCCCCUUAUGUCCCGGGCUACACACGUAAUACAAUGGCGUUAAGCAGAGGGAAGCAAAGCCGCGAGGCAGAGCAAAACCCUAAAAGGCGUCUCAGUUCGGAUCGCAGUCUGCAACUCGACUGCGUGAAGUUGGAAUUGCUAGUAAUCGCGGAUCAGCAUGCCGCGGUGAAUACGUUCCCGGGCC
Molecule: ribosomal RNA, 855 nt
Filed under: uncultured bacterium
Lineage: Bacteria
Description: bacterial SSU rRNA
Rfam family: Bacterial small subunit ribosomal RNA
Source: RNAcentral